This 309-nucleotide ribosomal RNA is filed under the name Triticum aestivum (bread wheat). Its description in RNAcentral is "partial small subunit ribosomal RNA". The record is from RNAcentral. Lineage: Eukaryota; Viridiplantae; Streptophyta; Magnoliopsida; Poales; Poaceae.
AUGUCUUAUAUGAAUAAGCAGGCGUCGUUGCUGGCUGCGACCUCACACACUGCCGAAGUCUCCGGACUAAAGCAGAGACUGGAGCGAGCCAAGCAGGAGUUCGACCAAGCGAGGAAGCAGCUGGAAGACAAGCAAGGAGCGGCGACCGAGGUCGAGGUCCUUAAACAGGCCCUGGCCCAGGCCGAGGAAAAAGCUGCCAAGGAAAAAGCCACUCGCGAGAAGCACGAGGCCCGGCUUGAUGAGGUCCAGCAAGGGCUCCAGGAUGCGGUGAAGAAAUGCAAAACCUUGGAGCGCGACGUUUCGGCUUGA